RNAcentral lists this transfer RNA (60 nucleotides) under Eutreptiella gymnastica. Lineage: Eukaryota; Euglenozoa; Euglenophyceae; Eutreptiales; Eutreptiaceae. The record is from RNAcentral.
ACUCAACCGGGCUAAGCGUAGGACUCGCACCCGAGAGGUCGUGGGUUCGAUUCCCGGAGU